RNAcentral lists this ribosomal RNA (494 nucleotides) under uncultured bacterium. Its description in RNAcentral is "partial 16S ribosomal RNA". It matches the Rfam family "Bacterial small subunit ribosomal RNA", at positions 28 to 507 of the family's 1533-position model. The record is from RNAcentral.
GACGAACGCUGGCGGCGUGCUUAACACAUGCAAGUCGAACGGAAAGGCCUGCUUUCCCUUGUGGAUUGCGGGUGCUCGAGUGGCGAACGGGUGAGUAACACGUGAGUGAUCUGCCCCCAACUUGGGUAUAAGCCUGGGAAACUGGGUCUAAUUCCCGAUAGGACUGCAGGGUGGUGCCUGUGGUGGAAAACGAUUUUCUAGUGGUUGGGGAUGAGCUCGCGGCCUAUCAGCUUGUUGGUGGGGUCAUGGCCUACCAAGGCGGCGACGGGUAGCCGGCCUGGGAGGGUGGACGGCCACAUUGGGACUGAGAGACGGCCCAGACUCCUACGGGAGGCAGCAGUGGGGAAGAGUGCACAACGGGCGGAAGCCUGAUGCAGCGACGCCGCGUGGGGGAUGACGGCCUUCGGGUUGUAAACUCCUUUCGACCGCGAGGAAGCCGCCUGGUUGGAAGGGUGGUGACGGUAGUGGUAGAAGAAGCACCGGCUAACUACGUG